Molecule: ribosomal RNA, 1404 nt
Filed under: Triticum aestivum (bread wheat)
Lineage: Eukaryota; Viridiplantae; Streptophyta; Magnoliopsida; Poales; Poaceae
Description: partial small subunit ribosomal RNA
Source: RNAcentral
AUGGAGCAGUCUAUAAGAGCAUACAGUAAAGAUAAAACAGUAACUUUGUUCAAGCCUGAAGUAGGCGUGAUAUUUGGCUCAGCAAGCCAAGGUUACCAGUUCUACAAUUUAUAUUCAUGGGUCCUUGGGUUCAGCAUAAGGAGUGAUGACUCGUAUACUAACACCAAGGGAGAGCGAACUAUGCAAGAGGCAAAUAGAUCUUUCUUAUUCUUAACAAAUAUUUGUCUGACAUUUCAGGGCAUUGAUAAGAAGACAAAACUCAGCAGCACCAGAUGUGGAUGUUGUGCACGGCUAAGGUUGCUUAGGUCCAAUGAUUUACUAUGGUAUGUCAAGAUAUUCAAUGAACAACACAACCAUGAUCUGGUUGAGAGUUGUGGCCAGAAGAAGCAUUUGUUUUCUCAUAGACACAUAGACGAUUCUGCCAAAACUAUGGUUAGGCACCUCCGUGAGAACAAUGUUAUCCCUAGCAGAAUAAAUGGCAUAGUUGGCAGCUUCUAUGGUACAGCGGAUGGUGUUCCAUUCACGAAGAAGGCUCUGAGGACUUUGUGUUCGGACAUUGCAGCUAAAGCUCUAAAAGAUGAUGUAAGAAAAACAAUUGAGGGUUUCAAAGACAAUAUAGCUCAGGACAAUAGGUUUGUUUUCUCAAUGCAGCUGGACGCCAAUAAAAAUCUAAGGUCUCUCAUGUGGACAAGUGGUCCGAACAGAGCUCUAUAUUCUCACUUUGGUGAUGUUGUAACAUUCGAUACAAUGUACGAGACCAACAUAUACAAGAUGCCGUUUGGAAUGUUCGUUAGAGUGAAUAACCACUUCCAGAGUAUUAUUUUCCCUGGAGUACUUCUUACAAACGAGAUUGCAGAAUAUUUCGAUUGGGCUUUCAAGGAGUUUGUUCUGAUGAUGGGUGGUAAAGCACCAUGUACGAUGCUGACAGACCAAGCUUUGGCAAUGGCAGUGGCAAUUAAGAGAACUUUACCGAAGACCACACAGCGGUGGUGUAAAUGGCAUGUCUUGCGUCGGGAAGUAUUGCGACAUGUAUUAAAAAAGCAUUUAAGUUUUGGUGAUGAUUUCAACAUGGUAGUGAACCAUAUGCUAACUGUUGAUGAGUUCGAGAGGGCAUGGGAUUUCCUCAUCAAAAAAUAUAACCUCGGUUCCAAUCCAUUCAUGACUAGGGUGUACGAGUGUAGAGCCAAAUGGGCAAAACCAUACUUCAACGACAUCUUCUGUGCCCGAAUGACCAGCACUCAGCAUAGUGAAAGCAUUGACCAUGUAUUGAAGAUUUACAUCGCUGCUCAAUCGUCUCUGAAUGUUUUUGUAAAACAGUACCACAAACUAAUCAGCCAGAGGGAGAAAGAUGAUAAUGAGGCCGAGAAAAACACGAGUCAGGUUUUUUUUAGAAAAGGAGGAUGA